UUUUUUUGUUAUCUUUGGUUGUGUUGAGAAAUUGUAGGGAAGUAGCAGGAAAGUCGAAUUGAAACAAUUGUUGUGAUACUGAAUCUUUGACUCUCUAUUGUCUGCGCUACUGAUUAGCCAACUGAAGGAUUUGGCAUUUAGGGUUUUAAUUUGGAGGAAGUUCUUGAUUUUUUCUCUUGAUGAAACUGAGAAAAUUUAAAGGAAACUUGAAAUCUAGCGUAUGAUUAUGGAUGAAAUGAUAAUUGGAAAAUUCAAUUAUAACUAACUACAGAGGAUGUCUUCAUGUACAGGAUUUUCG
Molecule: unclassified non-coding RNA, 298 nt
Filed under: Hevea brasiliensis (rubber tree)
Lineage: Eukaryota; Viridiplantae; Streptophyta; Magnoliopsida; Malpighiales; Euphorbiaceae
Source: RNAcentral